AUUGAACGCUGGCGGCAGGCCUAACACAUGCAAGUCGAGCGGCACGGCGGACGGGGGAGUACUGCCUAGGUAUCUGCAUGGUCGUGGCGGAUCCCGUCCGGAAACGGGCGCCAUUGCCACAUACUAUCAGAUCCGUUUCGGUGGGAUUUGCUAGUUGGUGGGGUAAAGGCCUACCAAGGCGACGAUCCCUAACUGGUCUGAGAGGAUGAUCAGUCACACUGGAACUGAGACACGGUCCAGACUCCUACGGGAGGCAUCAGUGGGGAAUAUUGGACAAUGGGCGAAAGCCUGAUCCAGCCAUGCCGCGUGUGUGAAGAAGGUCUUCGGAUUGUAAAGCACUUUAAGUAGGGAGGCGUUACCAGCAGAAUAAGCACCGGCUAACUACGUGCCAGCCGCCGCGGUAAUAC
Molecule: ribosomal RNA, 407 nt
Filed under: uncultured bacterium
Lineage: Bacteria
Description: partial 16S ribosomal RNA
Rfam family: Bacterial small subunit ribosomal RNA
Source: RNAcentral